This 2905-nucleotide ribosomal RNA is filed under the name Salmonella enterica subsp. enterica. RNAcentral's name for it is "bacterial LSU rRNA". It matches the Rfam family "Bacterial large subunit ribosomal RNA". Lineage: Bacteria; Pseudomonadati; Pseudomonadota; Gammaproteobacteria; Enterobacterales; Enterobacteriaceae. The record is from RNAcentral.
UUAAGCGACUAAGCGUACACGGUGGAUGCCCUGGCAGUCAGAGGCGAUGAAGGACGUGCUAAUCUGCGAUAAGCGCCGGUAAGGUGAUAUGAACCGUUAUAACCGGCGAUUUCCGAAUGGGGAAACCCAGUGUGAUUCGUCACACUAUCAUUAACUGAAUCCAUAGGUUAAUGAGGCGAACCGGGGGAACUGAAACAUCUAAGUACCCCGAGGAAAAGAAAUCAACCGAGAUUCCCCCAGUAGCGGCGAGCGAACGGGGAGGAGCCCAGAGCCUGAAUCAGCAUGUGUGUUAGUGGAAGCGUCUGGAAAGGCGCGCGAUACAGGGUGACAGCCCCGUACACAAAAGCGCACAUGCUGUGAGCUCGAUGAGUAGGGCGGGACACGUGGUAUCCUGUCUGAAUAUGGGGGGACCAUCCUCCAAGGCUAAAUACUCCUGACUGACCGAUAGUGAACCAGUACCGUGAGGGAAAGGCGAAAAGAACCCCGGCGAGGGGAGUGAAAAAGAACCUGAAACCGUGUACGUACAAGCAGUGGGAGCACCCUUUGGGGUGUGACUGCGUACCUUUUGUAUAAUGGGUCAGCGACUUAUAUUCUGUAGCAAGGUUAACCGUAUAGGGGAGCCGGAGGGAAACCGAGUCUUAACCGGGCGUUAAGUUGCAGGGUAUAGACCCGAAACCCGGUGAUCUAGCCAUGGGCAGGUUGAAGGUUGGGUAACACUAACUGGAGGACCGAACCGACUAAUGUUGAAAAAUUAGCGGAUGACCUGUGGCUGGGGGUGAAAGGCCAAUCAAACCGGGAGAUAGCUGGUUCUCCCCGAAAGCUAUUUAGGUAGCGCCUCGUGAAUUCAUCUCCGGGGGUAGAGCACUGUUUCGGCUAGGGGGCCAUCCCGGCUUACCAACCCGAUGCAAACUGCGAAUACCGGAGAAUGUUAUCACGGGAGACACACGGCGGGUGCUAACGUCCGUCGUGAAGAGGGAAACAACCCAGACCGCCAGCUAAGGUCCCAAAGUCAUGGUUAAGUGGGAAACGAUGUGGGAAGGCCCAGACAGCCAGGAUGUUGGCUUAGAAGCAGCCAUCAUUUAAAGAAAGCGUAAUAGCUCACUGGUCGAGUCGGCCUGCGCGGAAGAUGUAACGGGGCUAAACCAUGCACCGAAGCUGCGGCAGCGACACUGUGUGUUGUUGGGUAGGGGGAGCGUUCUGUAAGCCUGUGAAGGUGUGUCGUGAGGCAUGCUGGAGGUAUCAGAAGUGCGAAUGCUGACAUAAGUAACGAUAAAGCGGGUGAAAAGCCCGCUCGCCGGAAGACCAAGGGUUCCUGUCCAACGUUAAUCGGGGCAGGGUGAGUCGACCCCUAAGGCGAGGCCGAAAGGCGUAGUCGAUGGGAAACGGGUUAAUAUUCCCGUACUUGGUGUUACUGCGAAGGGGGGACGGAGAAGGCUAUGUUGGCCGGGCGACGGUUGUCCCGGUUUAAGCGUGUAGGUGUGUGUUCCAGGUAAAUCCGGUUCACUUUAACACUGAGGCGUGACGACGAGGCACUACGGUGCUGAAGCAACAAAUGCCCUGCUUCCAGGAAAAGCCUCUAAGCAUCAGGUAACAUCAAAUCGUACCCCAAACCGACACAGGUGGUCAGGUAGAGAAUACCAAGGCGCUUGAGAGAACUCGGGUGAAGGAACUAGGCAAAAUGGUGCCGUAACUUCGGGAGAAGGCACGCUGACACGUAGGUGAAGUGAUUUACUCAUGGAGCUGAAGUCAGUCGAAGAUACCAGCUGGCUGCAACUGUUUAUUAAAAACACAGCACUGUGCAAACACGAAAGUGGACGUAUACGGUGUGACGCCUGCCCGGUGCCGGAAGGUUAAUUGAUGGGGUCAGCGCAAGCGAAGCUCCUGAUCGAAGCCCCGGUAAACGGCGGCCGUAACUAUAACGGUCCUAAGGUAGCGAAAUUCCUUGUCGGGUAAGUUCCGACCUGCACGAAUGGCGUAAUGAUGGCCAGGCUGUCUCCACCCGAGACUCAGUGAAAUUGAACUCGCUGUGAAGAUGCAGUGUACCCGCGGCAAGACGGAAAGACCCCGUGAACCUUUACUAUAGCUUGACACUGAACAUUGAGCCUUGAUGUGUAGGAUAGGUGGGAGGCUUUGAAGCGUGGACGCCAGUCUGCGUGGAGCCAACCUUGAAAUACCACCCUUUAAUGUUUGAUGUUCUAACGUGGACCCGUAAUCCGGGUUGCGGACAGUGUCUGGUGGGUAGUUUGACUGGGGCGGUCUCCUCCUAAAGAGUAACGGAGGAGCACGAAGGUUGGCUAAUCCUGGUCGGACAUCAGGAGGUUAGUGCAAUGGCAUAAGCCAGCUUGACUGCGAGCGUGACGGCGCGAGCAGGUGCGAAAGCAGGUCAUAGUGAUCCGGUGGUUCUGAAUGGAAGGGCCAUCGCUCAACGGAUAAAAGGUACUCCGGGGAUAACAGGCUGAUACCGCCCAAGAGUUCAUAUCGACGGCGGUGUUUGGCACCUCGAUGUCGGCUCAUCACAUCCUGGGGCUGAAGUAGGUCCCAAGGGUAUGGCUGUUCGCCAUUUAAAGUGGUACGCGAGCUGGGUUUAGAACGUCGUGAGACAGUUCGGUCCCUAUCUGCCGUGGGCGCUGGAGAACUGAGGGGGGGCUGCUCCUAGUACGAGAGGACCGGAGUGGACGCAUCACUGGUGUUCGGGUUGUCAUGCCAAUGGCACUGCCCGGUAGCUAAAUGCGGAAGAGAUAAGUGCUGAAAGCAUCUAAGCACGAAACUUGCCCCGAGAUGAGUUCUCCCUGAGACUUAAAGUCUCCUGAAGGAACGUUGAAGACGACGACGUUGAUAGGCCGGGUGUGUAAGCGCAGCGAUGCGUUGAGCUAACCGGUACUAAUGAACCGUGAGGCUUAACCUU